GGAAAUGAGUUGGGACUAGAUUUAAUCUCUGCAGAGAAGCUAGCUGAGAAGGCAGCAGAGAGGGAGAGAGAAGGAGGAGGAGAAGGAGAAGAAGAAGAAGAAACAUCAGCAGCAGCAGAAGAGGCGGCGGCGGCGGGUCUUUUCUCUGGUUGGGGGAGAUCGCAGAGCAGCCUGGAAGAGAGACUUCCCUCUCCUCCCUUCUCCUCCUCCCCGCGGAGCCGCUGCAAGGAAAGAAAGCGAGAGAAAUGCAGGGAUUCGUCAGGUUACGGCGCUCGGGCUGGAAGAUGUGAGCCUCGGAUGGUGCUACGCCGCGAACCGGAGCCGGCUGCUUGCACAGGCUGCUGGUGAUAUAUACCGACUUGCUCGGAGAAAGCCGGGCGGCUCGGGGUGUGUUUGUGUGUGUCCGUCCGUCCGUCUGUCUCUCACCUCUCUCUCUCUCUCUCCUCCACCCCCCUCCCCCAGCGCCCCCCUUCCUAUUUUGUGUGUUAGGAAAAGACAUCCGAGGAAUGUUGUGUGUGAGUUGAAGUUGCUGCUUGCGGCUCUUGCACCUUGAUCAUCUGCAAGCACCGGCUCCCUAUGUGUGUGUGAGAAGAGAGGAAGAGAGAGCGAGAGGGCGGGACAGAUUUCUCAAUCUUGUAACAGCCGAUUUGAGGGCGAAAAGGGGGACCUGGGCUGGGUGGUUUCAUUUUCCCGGAGCGGGUGCCUUCUUCUCCCUCUCUCCUCCUUGCAAGAGAAUUCCUAGCCCCACGCUCCCUCCUUUCCUCCCCUCCAAAGCCGGGCUGGGCGUGAUUAUUCUCUGCCUGCCCCUGCUUCUCUUAGUCCCUCUCUCCUUCUCCUUCUUCUCCUCUCUGUCUUCCCCCUUCUCUCUCCCUUUCCCUUCUCUCUCGCUCUCCCUUCCCCCCUCCCUCCCCAAUCUCUAUUGUGCGAGCCAAAGAUGAAAGACCGGAGGGGAGAAAGUUAAAGAAAUCGCCCACAUGCGCUGCAUCAGUCCGAGGCUUUGGGAAAGGAAUAAAGAGGAGGUGGGAGAAGAGAGUUUAAAGUCUUUGCAGGCGGGAAGAUGGCGGACUCAAGCUGAAAGUGUCGACUGGCAAACUUGGGCGAUCUUUGUGUUUAUUUACAAUCC
This 1123-nucleotide long non-coding RNA is filed under the name Podarcis muralis (Common wall lizard). Its description in RNAcentral is "lncRNA (ENSPMRG00000019154.1)". Lineage: Eukaryota; Metazoa; Chordata; Lepidosauria; Squamata; Lacertidae. The record is from RNAcentral.